GAUGAACGCUGGCGGCGUGCCUAAUACAUGCAAGUCGAGCGAACAGACGAGGAGCUUGCUCCUCUGACGUUAGCGGCGGACGGGUGAGUAACACGUGGAUAACCUACCUAUAAGACUGGGAUAACUUCGGGAAACCGGAGCUAAUACCGGAUAAUAUAUUGAACCGCAUGGUUCAAUAGUGAAAGACGGUUUUGCUGUCACUUAUAGAUGGAUCCGCGCGGCAUUAGCUAGUUGGUAAGGUAACGGCUUACCAAGGCGACGAUGCGUAGCCGACCUGAGAGGGAGAUCGGCCACACGGGAACUGAGACACGGUCCAGACUCCUGCGGGAGGCAGCAGUAGGGAAUCUUCCGCAAUGGGCGAGAGCCUGACGGAGCAACGCCGCGUGAGUGAUGAAGGUCUUCGGAUCGUAAAACUAUGUUAUUAGGGAAGAACAAAUGUGUAAGUAACUAUGCACGUAUUGACGGUACCUAAUCAGAAAGCCACGGCUAACUACGUG
This 497-nucleotide ribosomal RNA is filed under the name uncultured bacterium. RNAcentral's name for it is "partial 16S ribosomal RNA". It matches the Rfam family "Bacterial small subunit ribosomal RNA", at positions 28 to 507 of the family's 1533-position model. The record is from RNAcentral.